Long non-coding RNA from Cydia pomonella (codling moth), 1303 nucleotides. RefSeq lists it as uncharacterized. The record is from RefSeq and is a predicted model, not a curated record. The transcript is spliced from 2 exons. Lineage: Eukaryota; Metazoa; Arthropoda; Insecta; Lepidoptera; Tortricidae.
UAUAUCCCGGUCAAUUUAAGUCUAGUUAAUUAGUUAUUACUUUAGUUGUAAGUCGAUUAUUGUUUCAAUAAACUGCCUUACAGUGAUGAAAAAUAAUCGAUCUUUGACUGAUUUGUUUGUUCGUUCAUAUAAUUGUGACAUUAUUUAUUGAAAGGGAUUUAUCGAUGGUGCUUACGCCAUUAUCAUCGAUGCUCCUAUGUAAAUACAACGCUGCGCUAAGCGUAAACACCCUUGACAAAAGAUCCAGGUUUCAUAGAUAACGUCACAAUUUAUUCAAUGUAGAAUGCAAUUUUAAUAACAUAAAUUCAAUGCGAACGUUAAUUCCUCCUUAAAUAUUUAUUUUUUGCACUGCAAAACCGGUGCACGGUUUUAAUGUAUUUGAUCACUUUAAAGCAGUUUAAUGAAAUACUAAUCGACUUAUAAUUAUUAUUUAUUAAGAGGGAAGAAUAGCUUUGUGAUCCUAGCGAAAUAUAGUACAUUACGAUAAUAAAGAAGACGGUUCAUGCCGAGGCAUAUAUAACGUCACAAUAAAUUCAAUGUACAAUUAAUAACACAAAUUCAGUGCGAACGUUAGUACUUUUCUCCAAACAUGCGAGGAAAUCAGAUAAAAUAAUCAUAAUUUAAGCAUCAACCAGCUCUCAAAUAGAACCUCCACAUCAAACACGUCAAAAACCCCUAUUUAAUUAUUUUUUUAAAAGUUAAAGGCACAACUAUUCAGCCAUUCAGUAUUUGCUCAUUCAAUAUAAUUGUGCAAUAUAAACUGUAUUGACACGCAUGAGAUCCUUAAAAAUAUAGUCUGUCAAGCAAAGUCUGUCAGUAGCAAUGUAAAGCAAACUGAAGUAUGGCAACACUCACAGAGCAGUAUUGCGCUAAGAAAAGCAGCAAUGUACAUCGAACCGAAACAUUUUUUUCCACUGAGCGCACUCUUCGUACGUCAACUAAAAUUGCCGCGGUUUAUUGAAGCAUUUGGAAAUUGUUAUUAUUAUGAGAGGGACAAUUUAAACUGGAGUAAAAACUGACUAUGCUGGAGAAAAUAAUGUUUGAAUCAAAUCAUUGCUUCCGCAGCAAACUUAGAAGACAAAUAGGGAGCAAAGAGAACAUAAGCACCACGGUAGCAAGCUGUUUUUAACAUCAGUUCAGAAACUGAAGGAGCCCAAAGAAAAUAAUUAUGCCACUUGUUAAUUGUAAAUUAGUGUAUUUCUCUUGAACAAUGUCACAUUCACAUACCAGUGUAAUUUUGAAAUGGUUUUACAAUAUACUUAUAUAAAUAUACAGAUUAAAAAUAAAUAAAAACACAACUGCA